This 253-nucleotide ribosomal RNA is filed under the name uncultured bacterium. RNAcentral describes it as "partial 16S ribosomal RNA". It matches the Rfam family "Bacterial small subunit ribosomal RNA", at positions 524 to 776 of the family's 1533-position model. The record is from RNAcentral.
UACAGAGGUGGCAAGCGUUGUUCGGAAUUACUGGGCGUAAAGAGCGCGCAGGCGGCUGGUCAAGUCCGAUGUGAAAGCUCCCGGCUUAACUGGGAAAUUGCAUCGGAAACUGAUCGGCUGGAAUGUGGGAGAGGGUAGCGGAAUUCCCGGUGUAGUGGUGAAAUGCGUAGAUAUCGGGAGGAACACCAGUGGCGAAAGCGGCUACCUGGCCCAUUCUUGACGCUGAGGCGCGAAAGCUAGGGGAGCAAACGGG